UACGUAGAAGACUAGUGUUAUUCAUCUUUAAUAGGUUUAAAGGGUACCUAGACGGUAAAUCAAGCCUAGUUAGGGACUAAUUUACUAGAGUUACUUAUGAGGGGGUAUUAAAGUACUGCUGGUGUAGAGAUGAAAUUCUGUCAUACCUCUUUUCGUAUGAAAAAUAAUGGCACAGGUAUAGGCGAAAGCAUCCCCUUAUGUGAUAACUGACGUUGAAGGACGAAGGCUUUGUGUCGCGAACAGG
This 244-nucleotide ribosomal RNA is filed under the name uncultured Protoparmelia. RNAcentral describes it as "partial small subunit ribosomal RNA". It matches the Rfam family "Bacterial small subunit ribosomal RNA", at positions 524 to 776 of the family's 1533-position model. The record is from RNAcentral. Lineage: Eukaryota; Fungi; Ascomycota; Lecanoromycetes; Lecanorales; Lecanoraceae.